RNAcentral lists this ribosomal RNA (371 nucleotides) under uncultured bacterium. RNAcentral's name for it is "bacterial SSU rRNA". It matches the Rfam family "Bacterial small subunit ribosomal RNA", at positions 917 to 1289 of the family's 1533-position model. The record is from RNAcentral.
GGGCCCGCACAAGCGGUGGAGCAUGUGGUUUAAUUCGAUGCAACGCGAAGAACCUUACCAGGGUUUGACAUCCUGCGAAUCUCUUGGAAACAGGAGAGUGCCUUCGGGAACGCAGUGACAGGUGGUGCAUGGCUGUCGUCAGCUCGUGUCGUGAGAUGUUGGGUUAAGUCCCGCAACGAGCGCAACCCACGUCUUUAGUUGCCAUCAUUUAGUUGGGCACUUUAAUGGGACUGCCGGUGACAAACCGGAGGAAGGUGGGGAUGACGUCAAGUCCUCAUGGCCCUUAUGGCCAGGCUUCACACGUAAUACAAUGCUACGGACAAAGGGCUGCAAGUUCGCGAGGACAAGCAAAUCCCCAUAAACCGUGGCUC